CCCUUAGAUGUCCUGGGCCGCACGCGCGCUACACUGAUGCAUGCAACGAGUUUAUAACCUUGGCCUGAAAGGUCUGGGUAAUCUUUUGAACGUGCAUCGUGAUAGGGAUAGAUUAUUGCAAUUGUUAAUCUUGAACGAGGAAUUCCUAGUAAACGCGAGUCAUCAGCUCGCAUUGAUUACGUCCCUGCCCCUUGUACACACCGCCCGUCGCACCUACCGAUUGAAUGGUUCGGUGAAGAUCUCGGACUUCGAUAUUUAUUCUUUAUUGAGUUUAUAUUGUGGGAAGUUAUCUAAACCUCAUCAUUUAGAGGAAGGUGAAGUCGUAACA
Molecule: ribosomal RNA, 328 nt
Filed under: uncultured eukaryote
Lineage: Eukaryota
Description: partial 18S ribosomal RNA
Rfam family: Eukaryotic small subunit ribosomal RNA
Source: RNAcentral